ACCAGGCCGAUUAUCGAGGCUACGGUUUCAGUUGCGGUUGCAAAACUAGAGUACACAUCUCUCUCUCUAUUCUCAUAGCAUGCAGCUCUGUGUGCAGAUUAUAGACGUUUCCUAAAGAGAUUAAGGUGAGUUUAACCAGCAUAAUAAUAAUAAUUGUUAUAGUCAUGAAAAUGUGCAUACGUACAUGCAUGCUGAACAGCAAAUUGAUGGACAAAGCUCUCCCAAAAUCAGCUCCAAACUGCCCACUCUUAACGCCGAGAGUGAGCUUAUGGAUGGACGAAGCGAGGGACAAGGCUCCCCUAUUCAUCUUAAUGGUAGGGAGGCUAUGGUGCCGGAUGGACAAAGAGAGCACUUUGAAAAUCCCUGUCUAUUGCUACUGUUGAUGUGCAGAUGAUGGCCAAGGUAGGCUGUGACGGAUGUGAAGAUUGGUAGAUGCAUCAACGCCGCCAAAGUAAAAAAGCGAUUAUGGUAUUGCAACCAAGUGUCGAUAAAGUAGUUAGAAUCAAUGACUUUAUA
Molecule: long non-coding RNA, 516 nt
Organism: Halichondria panicea
Lineage: Eukaryota; Metazoa; Porifera; Demospongiae; Suberitida; Halichondriidae
Exons: 3
Source: RefSeq, a predicted model, not a curated record